UAAAAAGUUUUCCUAAAGCUCAAAGAGGUC
RNAcentral lists this non-coding RNA (30 nucleotides) under Mus musculus (house mouse). Lineage: Eukaryota; Metazoa; Chordata; Mammalia; Rodentia; Muridae. The record is from RNAcentral.